Molecule: ribosomal RNA, 1484 nt
Filed under: human gut metagenome
Description: bacterial LSU rRNA
Rfam family: Bacterial large subunit ribosomal RNA
Source: RNAcentral
AGGUUGGCUCAGAAGCAGCCAUCCUUUAAAGAGUGCGUAACAGCUCACUAGUCGAGUGACCCUGCGCCGAAAAUGUACCGGGGCUAAGCCUGAUACCGAAACUGCGGAUUGUAGGAAACUAUAGUGGUAGGGGAGCGUUGUAUACGAGCAGAAGCCGUACCGUGAGGAGCGGUGGAUUGUAUAGAAGUGAGAAUGCCGGUGUGAGUAGCGAGAUGUAGGUGAGAAUCCUACACACCGAAAGCCCAAGGAUUCCAGGGGAAGGUUCGUCCGCCCUGGGUAAGUCGGGACCUAACGCGAGGCCGAAAGGCGUAGUGGAUGGAAAGCAGGCGAAAGAUUCCUGCACCCGUAUAUGGAGCGAAGGAGUGACGGAGACGGAUAGUGUGACCCUCUUAAUGGAUUGAGGGCGAAGCGAAGCGGCUGGUUACCAGGCAAAUCCGGUAACCAUAAGGCUAGAGCGUGACAGGUAAGCGAAAUCUUCGGAAAGUAGCGAAGCACAUGAUGACGGCUUCCAGGAAAAGCUUCUGGCAAUGCAUAUGCGGCCCGUACCAAAACCGACACAGGUGGGCAGGGAGAGAAUCCCGAGGUGAGCGAGAGAACUGUUGCCAAGGAACUCGGCAAAAUGACUCCGUAAGUUAGCGAGAAGGAGUGCUUAAGCAAUUAAGCCGCAGUGAAGAGGCCCAAGCGACUGUUUAACUAAAACACAGCUCUCUGCGAAGUCGCAAGACGAAGUAUAGGGGGUGACACCUGCCCGGUGCUGGAAGGUUAAGAGGAUCUGUUAAGAGCGAUCUGAAGCAGUGAUCCGAAGCCCCAGUGAACGGCGGCCGUAACUAUAACGGUCCUAAGGUAGCGAAAUUCCUUGUCAGGUAAGUUCUGACCCGCACGAAAGGUGUAACGAUUUGGGCGCUGUCUCGGCAGCAGACUCGGUGAAAUCUUAGUACCUGUGAAAAUGCAGGUUACCCGCAACUAGACGGAAAGACCCCAUGGAGCUUUACUGCAGCCUGAUAUUGAAUUCUGGUCAUACAUGUACAGGAUAGGUGGGAGACAAAGAGACGUGCACGCCAGUGUACGAGGAGUCGACGUUGGGAUACCACUCUUGUGUGACCGGGGUUCUAACCUGGUAUCGAGAACAGGUACGGGGAGAGUGUCAGGUGGGCAGUUUGACUGGGGCGGUCGCCUCCCAAAGAGUAACGGAGGCGCCCAAAGGUACGCUCAGAUUGGAUGGAAACCAAUCGUCGAGUGCAAUUGCAGAAGCGUGCUUGACUGUGAGACAGACAAGUCGAACAGGGACGAAAGUCGGGAAUAGUGAUCCGGCGGUGCCGAAUGGAAGGGCCGUCGCUCAACGGAUAAAAGCUACCCUGGGGAUAACAGGCUGAUCUCCCCCAAGAGUCCACAUCGACGGGGAGGUUUGGCACCUCGAUGUCGGCUCAUCGCAUCCUGGGGCUGUAUUCGGUCCCAAGGGUUUGGCUGUUCGCCAAUUAAAGCGG